GUAGGCUUACGGGGUUGUAAUCAGGAAUAAGGUUUUAGGCUAAUUGGGUCACAAGUGUAACGGCCUUUGGGCUUGGGUGUAAUCGGGUUCUGGGUUAGCUGGGUAUUACCUUGUAAUUGGGCCUCGGGUAGACUUAAAUUUUUAGGCUCUGUAUAUGGACUAUUUAAAACUGUAAACAUUCAUUUAUUUUUUAUUUUUUGUUUAAGGCCCGGGCAAAUUUAGGUUAUUACAGCUGCCCCUCUUUACUCAUUUCUAUAUAAUAGGAAUCGAGUAAAGACUAUAAAAGGCCAAAUUUGCCCGGCUUUAUCAGAUCAGGAUUCCUUAAUCUGCUCCUUGCAAACUCAUGAUUGUCAUGUUGAUAUUUUCGAUCUGCUCUCCGUCGAACACAGAGACGCCAAAUCUGCUUCUUCAAUUUGUUCCCUGACAAUACAGAGAUGCCAAAUCAUCUUAGAUUUGCUUCAGCGUAAACACGUGAAAUCCAAAUCUGCUGUGUCUUCGAUUUGCUCCUUGUGAACACAAGGAUGCCAAAUCAUCUUGGAUCUGCUUCAGUAAAAUUAUCUGAAGGUUAGAUCUGCUAUGUCUCUGCUCUCUGUCGAAAUGGAGAUGCCAGAUCUGUUAUCUUGGAUCUGCUUUGGUGUGAGAACAUCCAAAAGUCAAAUCUGCUAUGUCUUCGAUUUGUUCCUUGUAAACACAAGAAUGCCCAAAUCAUCUUUGAUCUGCUUCAGUAUAAACAUCUGAAGGUUAGACCUGCUAUGUACCUACUCUCCGUCGAAAUGGAGAUGCCAGAUCUGUUAUCUUGGAUCUGCUUUAAUGUGAAAACAUUUAAAAGUCAGAUCUGCUAUGUCUUCGAUUUGCUUAUCGUCGAAGAUAGAGAAGCCAAAUUUUGUUAUCUUGGAUCUGCUUCAGUGUAAACAUGUGAAGGUCAGAUCUGCUAUGUUUUGGUCUGUUACCCUACUACUCAGGGGGUUAAGGCGCAUCAUCUUUGAUCUACAUAACCUGUAGAAUGCAUAUGUGCUCAUGCCUGAUGAUUAGGAUGCUAUAAUCGAAGUGAGUUAAAUGCUCCUAACUAGACAUGUUAUGAUGCAAAAUGUUAUGAAUAUGACUCCUAUUCCAGACGUCACCACUCAUUCCUUCGUUUAUCUUUACUUCUCUCAAAGUAUUAUUCCUACUCAGCCUGUAGGCUUGUAUCAUUCUUCAAAUGCUACGACCCACUGAGAAUAUCUGUAAGAUAAUAUUUUUUUUAAUCAUUAUUUCGGACUGGAAGAAAGAAAUUCCUCAAGUUCUUUCAACCCUCCCUUGCGUGAAUUUCUCGAACAAUUGUCCUGUUUUAGUUUCUUGUAUUAUCUAGAAAUUUCCAUAGUAAUGAACAAAACUUCAUUUGUGAAAAUUAUUUAGUUCAUCUAUCAUUAUUUAAUACAACACACUUUAAGAAUAAUGGAAGAUAAAUUUAUUCUUGAGAAUAAUUAGAUUUGAAUAAAUUUGUCAAAAAUACAAAGGAAAUUAAUCUGAAAGCCUAUCUUUGAGAAGAAUAAUAAUCUAAAGAUAGCAAACAGGAAAAAAGUUAGAUGCCCUAGAUAUCGCCGUUUGAGCGUUUAUAUGCCAGCUCCCUGAAGACUUUCUUGAGUUCAACAUGUGUUUAAAAGACCCAAAGUACUUUGUCGAUGCCUCAAUAUGCAACGCGCUUCACUCUUCAUUGAAUUAGAUAUAGAAAGAUUACCGUGUGCUCUUCAAAAUUUGAGCUGCCUUUUCGGGUUUUUAACUUAAAAACCCCUUUGGUCACAAGGCGCCCUUUGCGGGUUUUCACCUUGGCCUCUCCAUUUUUUUUUUGAAAACUCAAGGCGCCCUUUACAGGUUUUCACCCUAAAUUCCUCUCUCCUUUAGACAAAUUACUUUUUGACUGAGUCUGAAUUCACUGGAGUGUGUAAACUUUUCCCAUCCAUUUCUGUCAAGAUCAAUGCACCCCCAGAGAAGGCCUUUUUUCACGACAUACGGCCCUUCCCAAUUUGGCAUCCAUUUUCCUCUAAAAUCCUUCUGAAUGGGAAGAAUCUUUUUUAACACAAGAUCCCCCUCAUGGAAUUUUAUUGGUUGCACUUUCUUGUCAUAAGCCCGCAUCAUUCGCUUCUGAUACAUCUGACCAUGACGAAUGGCCCUUAGCCUAUUUUUCUCAAUCAAGUUCAACUGGUCAUAUCGCGAUUGAAUAUACUCUGCUUCAUCCAACUUUAUCUCCUAUAAAACUCGAAGAGAAGGUAUUUCAACUUCAAUGGGUAACACUGCCUCCAUUCCAUAUACCAACGAGAAAGGGGUUGCCCCAGUACAAGUUCUGAUGGACGUUCGAUAAGCUAAGAGUGCAAAUGGUAACUUCUCAUGCCAAUCUCUGUAGGUUUCAGUCAUUUUCUUCACUAUCUUCUUGAUGUUUUUGUUAGCAGCUUCUACUGCCCCAUUUAUCUUUGGGCGAUAUGGAGAGGAAUUAUGAUGCUUAAUCUUGAACUGACUACAAACUUCUGCUAUCGUUUUGUUGUUCAAGUUCAAUGCAUUUUCUGAUAUGAUCCUUUCAAGCAUCCCAUACCGACAAAUAAUCUCUUUUUUCAAAAACUGACUUACAGCUGAUUUAGUAACAUUUGCAUAAGAAGCAACCUCUACCCACUUCGUGAAGUAAUCAAUGACCACGAAAAUAAAGCGAUGUCCAUUUGAAGCUUUUGGUGAUAUUGGCCCAAUGACAUCCAUGCCCCACAUAGAAAAAGGCCAUGGAGAAGUCAUAACAUGUAGAGGUGAAGGUGGUACAUGAAUCUUAUCUCUAUAAAUCUGACAUUUAUGGCAUUUCUUGGCGUAAUUGAUACAAUCCCCUUCCAUAGUAGACCAAUAAUAUCCAAACCUCAUGAUUUGUCUAGCCAUCGUGAAACCGUUAGCAUGUGUCCUACAAACACCCUCGUGAACUUCUUCCAAGAUUAACUUAGCUUCCACAGUGUCAACACAUCUCAACAGUACUUGGUCCUUUCUUCUUUUGUACAAAAUGUCCCUGUCUAAAACAUAAUUGCAAGCUAAUCUCCUUAGAGUUCGUUUAUCAUUUUCAGUUGCUUGUUCUAAGGUUCUUAUUCUUCGUUCUAUAGCCGCUCGGAGUCCCAUAAUGCAUGCUUCAUACUCAUCCAUAUUGUUUGUGCAAUCAAAAUCCAACUUACAAGUGAAUGGAUGAUAAUCGCCAUUCGGGGAUACCAGGACUGCCCCAAUUCCAUUUCCCACUACAUUGGAUGCCCCAUCAAAGCUCAUCCUCCAAGAAUAAUCCUCUGUAGUUGCUACACACAUCAAUUCCUCAUUUGGAAAAUCGAAAUUCAACGGCUCAUAAUCCUCUAGAGCUCUACUAGCUAGAAAUUCUGCUAUCGCGCUUCCUUUUAUAGCCUUUUGACUCACAUAGACUAUGUCAAACUCUGAAAGCAGGAUUUUCCAUCUCGCCAUUCUCCCAUUCAACACUGUUGACUCCAUCAUAUACUUCAAAGGGUCAAGUUUUGAAAUAAGCCAGGUAGUAUGAUAUAGCAUGUACUGUCUUAGCCUUCGAGUCGUCCAGAUUAAAGCGCAACACAAUUUCUCAAUCGAUGAAUAUCUCAUCUCACACUCUGUAAAUUUCUUACUGAGGUAGUAUAUCGCAUUCUCCUUUCUUCCCGACUCGUUAUGUUGACCAAGCACACAUCCCAUGAAAUUAAUAAACACCGACAAGUACAGAAUUAAUGGUUUAUCUAGACUAGGUGGAGAUAGUACUGGAGCGUUUAACAAGUAUUGCUUAACUUUAUCGAAGGCAUUCUGGCACUCUUCAUUCCAAGUACCUUGGUUGUGUUUUCUAAGGAGGCGAAAUAUAGGGUCACAUUUCUCAGUUAAUUGUGAAAUAAACCAAGCAAUAUAAUUUAACCUUCCAAGCAAACCUCGAACUUCUUUCUGAGUGCGUGGCGGAGGCAAAUCUCGUAUGGCUCUAACUUUGUCUGAGUCAACUUCUAUUCCCUUUUCACUAACCACAAAGCCUAGUAAUUUCACUGACCUAGCUCCGAAAGUACACUUUGCCGGAUUAAGUUUUAACUGAAACUUCCUUAAUCUCAAGAAUAGUUUCCUUAAAACUUCAAUAUGUUCCUCCUCUGAUCAAGAUUUGGCAAUCAUAUCAUCAACAUACACCUCAAUUUCCUUGUGCAUCAUAUCAUGGAAUAAGUUCACCAUGGCCCGUUGGUAUGUUGCCCGUGCAUUCUUCAAUCCAAAUGGCAUUACUUUGUAGCAAAAGGUACCCCACAAAGUUAUGCAAGUAGUUUUAUCCAUGUCCUCAGAAUGCAUCUUUAUCUAGUUGUACCCCGAGAAACCAUCCAUGAAAGAGAACAACGAAUAUCUUGCGGUGUUGUCCACCAAAGUGUCGAUGUGUGGCAAAAAAAAUUAUCCUUCGGGCUAGCUUUGUUCAGAUUUCUGUAAUCAACACACAUUCGUACCUUCCCAUCCUUCUUAGGGAUUGGUACAAUAUUAGUUACCCAUUCAGAGUACUUGACCUCUUGUAAGAAUCUUGCAUUAAACUGCUUCUUAACCUCGUCUUUUAUUUUCAGUACAAUAUCUGGCCUCAUUCUUCGUAACUUUUGUUGGACUGGCUUACAAUCCUGUCUUAUUGGAAGACGAUGUACUACAAUAUCUGUACUCAACCCUGGCAUAUCCUGAUAGGACCAUGCGAAGAUAUCCUUGAAUUCACGUAACAACUCAAUCAGUUCUUGCCUUGUGUCCUUAGUAAUUAGUGUCCCAAUUUUCACCUCUUUUCUUUCCUCAAGGGCUACAUUUUCUAUUGCCUCUUUCUCAUGGGGCAUAAUUUGUUUCUCCUCCUAUUUUACCAUUCUCAACAGAUCUGGAGACACAUCACUAUCUUGGACAUCUUCAAAAUCUUGAGGUUCCUCUAAACACAUGUUUUGCUUGCGAGAGAAAUCAGGAUUUGUAAUAUCAAUGCUAAUGUCAUUGAUAUCUAAGGACUUAUGAAGUAUAAAAGAAUAUACAAAGAAUGAAUGAAUUUAAGAAUGAUUAUUUAUGUACUAUGAAUGAAAGAAUAAGAAUUGUCAAAAUUUUAACGAAAUAUUGGUUGAUAAAAAUGAAACAAUACUCGUUGAAUUGAUAAAAGUUAUGUUUUAUUAAAAAGAUAAUAGAUGAUCAUAAACCUAUUUCACAAAUGUAAUUCUUUUACUCCUAGGCUCUAGAGUAACAAGAAUGUUUCGAGAAUUAUUCUGAAAAAUUCCUAAAGAAUACGGGAAGUUCCUCCGCAGUCCAAUUGUUCAGAGAGCUUCCUGAUUCGUAAGGGCGAAUGCCCACAAGGUUUCCUUUCUUUGAUUCUUCAUCUUGUAUAGCAUUAACUUGAUGACUUCCUUCUAUGAGUAACCCUCUCGAUAUGAAGGUUCGGGAUAUUGGAGGGGAUGUCAUCGGCUCCCACUACACUUCUCUUCUAUUGAGGUGCGCCCUUCUUCCUUCUUGACGCUUCUCAAUUUCCUUCCUCCUUUGCUUAUAGUGUGGUUUAAAUCCCAGACCAAAACAAUCUCUCUUCUCUUUAAGUUCUGGGAUUUGAGUCCUUCCUUGCAGGUACCUUCCUAACCCUUUUCUUGGUAAGGCUCCCUUCCCCGCCAUCAUUUGUAGAGCCAUCCUCGUAGCUCUUGCUAUCUUUGGCACCGAUAGCUCACUUCCUUCUGAAAUGAAGGUUGCAUUUACGAAUUCUAAAGAGCAGAAGGAGCACUCAAUAGACUCUUCGUUCGUCUCGACAUAAGAGGCCUUGCUAGUGACUGCGGCUAUAAUGUCCUCCUCCGCAUUGAUGGUUAUUAACCGUCCAUCGGUCACUAAUUUCAAUUUCUGGUGCAAUGACGAUGGUACCGCUCCCGUUGAGUGUAUCCAUGGCCUGCCUAAUAAGCAAUUGUAGGAAGGCUUGAUAUCCAUUAACAAGAAGUCUACUUCAUACAUGUUAAUGUCAAUUCUUUCCAUCACCUUCCUUUCUGUACCGUCGAAGGCUCUUACCACUUUUUGACACGUGUUCAUGUGAGAAUCGUCAAUAGGUAAUCUGUUUAAUGUAGACAAUGGUAGAACAUUUAAAGCCGAUCCAUUAUCAACGAGCACGCUUGAGAGUGUGUACCCCUUGCAUCGAGUGGUAAUGUGUAAGGCCUUAGUUGAACCUCUGCCCCCGGUGGGAUUUCAUCAUCAUUAAAGUAGAUGAAAUUAUCUGCGCUAAUGUUGUUCACCAAUCGGUCUAGCUUAUAAACAGAUAUGUCAUGGGUGACAUAUGUUUCGUUAAGCACCUUCAUCAAUGCCUCCUUAUGCACCUCAGAACUCAAAAGUAGAGCCAAUACUGAUAUGCGAGCCGACUACUUACGCAACUGCUCGACCACACUAUACUCGCUAUGCUUAAGGAACUUUAGAAAUUCCUUAGCCUCCUUUUCCUUUACUGGCCCAUUGACAGGCAUUUCAGCCCCUUUCUCCUUCUCAGUACUAACACCCUUUGCUUUUGUAGCCUCCUCUCUGACGUCCACCGUAUCAUACCGCUUCCCACUCUGUGUAUGGGAACCUUCAACUUGUACAUCCUUAGACAUACUGGCUAUAUCCUCCUUCUCCGGCAUUGACACUUGACAGUUAUAACUCCAUGGUACCCUCUUAUUAUCCUUAUAAGGAAAGGACACAGGUUUAUGGAUUAUGACCUUAGGCACCGUUUGUGCCCCUACUUCAUUAUUCCCCUGCAAGGAAAUAAUAAUCAUUGGCCGACUGAUUCUUUGUUGUUCAUCGUCCAGCACACAUACUUGUUUUUCUCUAGAGCUACCUUCAAAAAUUUGUAGCUCUUUAUUGUCUAUAAAGCCUUACACCAAGGCCUUGAAUUCUUCACAGUCUUGAGUUUCAUAUCCUUUUUUCUCAUGGAACUCACAGUAGUUCCCCGUUUUUUAUCUUUCUCUCCUAGAGGUUAUCAUCCCUCUCUUCAUCAUCUCCUCCCAAAUCACCUUCAUAGGCAUCCUCACCUCAGCAACAUUUUCCUUCAUCCUUCUCUCACUAGCUUCACCAAUGGCAUUCACUUCUUGAUCGUCGUGAUUUGGCAAAGGGUUUUCAAUAUUUGGGGUACUAUCAAAUUUCACAACCCCUAUUUUGAUCAACCUCUCCACGACCUUCUUGAAUCCGGUACAAUUUUCAACUGAGUGUCCCGAUAUUCCAGCGUGGUACUCGCAUCUGGCGUUUGCAUCAUACCAUUUAGGAUAUGGAGGCUGUAAUGGUUUCAAGUGGAAAGGAGUAAUAGCAUGUGCAUUGUAUAAGUUUUAAUAAAGCUCAUGAUACGUCACAGGGAUAGGUGUGAAUUGCAUCCUCUCGUGCCUUGUGCUCGAUUCCUGUAUUUGAGAACCCUGUUGCCCAACCGCAGCUACUUUGGGUUGACCAACUGUGACUGCCUUCGAGUUGAAGCUACUUGUGUUGUUCACCUCAUUGUCUUUUCUCCUUGGGGCUGAUCUUUUGGCCGUUUCCCCCUCAAUUUUACCACCUCUUAUGGUGUUCUCAAUCAUCUCUCCCGCUAUGACUAUGUCCGCAAAACUUUUGUCAGUGCUUCCAAUCAUGUGAGUAAUGAAUGGAGCCUUCAGAAUGUUGAUGAACAACAUGGUGAUCUCAUUCUCCAACAAUGGUGGUUGAACUUGCAUGGCAACCUCUUUCCAUCUUUGAGCAUAUUGCCUAAAAUUCUCAUUAGGCUUUUUCUCCAUAUUUUGCAGCGUGAUCCUAUCUAGCGUCAUGUCAGUUACAUGAUUGUACUGUUACAUGAAGGCUUGUGCAAGAUCCCUCCAUGAAUUUAUUCUGGCCCUGCUCAACUGAUUGUACCACCUGGCGGCUGCUCCCACUAUGCUAUCUAGAAAAUAAUGAAUCAAUAGUUGAUCAUUGUUUACAUAUCCGGUCAUCCUCCUACAGAACAUCGUAAUGUGGGCCUCUGGGUAAGUAGUCCCGUUGUACUUUUCAAACUCCGACAUUUUGAAUUUAUGGGGAAGCACCAGGUCUGGGACCAAACUCAAGUCUUUGGCAUCAACUCCAUGAUGCCCAUCAGCACUCUUUAGAUCCUUAAAUUUCUCAUCCAACCAUCUACAACGUUCCUCCAACUGUUUUGCAGCUUCAGCUCUUAAAUUUUCCUUUUCAGCCACGUCUAAGUCAAGAAUGAGAGGAUUGGUAGGGUUGUCACCCAAAUUGAAUCCCGAACCAGUUGGGUUAUUCAUGUGGAUCCCAGUAUCAACCGAUCCAUGUUGAGGCCUUAUAGUGACAGACGACCUCUUAGGAAGCACCUCGGUUUGUGUAGGCCCGUGGGGUGGAGUAAAGCCUGGAGAAUAAUCCUCUUCCUCCUUACCAGUGAUUGCCAUAGGGGCUUUUCCCUUAUUAGUGGCCUUCAGCAACUGAACCAUCUCAGUCAUCAUAUUCCUCUGAGCCUCUAGCAUUUGCUCCCUCAUGUCGCUUUGCAUCUUGGCUAAUUGUUCUUGCAAUUGGUCCUGCAUGUCCAUUUGUAGCUGUUCAAAUCUUUGAUCCAUAUUCCUAAAUUUUGCGUGAGUUCCGUACUGAUGCGUGGUUUCCAGAUUUUCUUUUCUACUUCUGUGGUAAUUUUAACUAAUUAGGGUCUUUUUAUAACUUUGUAUGCAAAUGAGGCGAUGAAAUGCUAUGAAAUGUAAAUGCAUGAAUGCCAAAAGGACAUCGAUUCUGAUUCAAUCUCAUUUAUAGAACUUUAUUUAGAAAAAGAAUAUCUUUACAUAUAAAAGGAUUACAAAUACGCUUUCGCCCUAAUGCCCAAAGUUUUAACUCUAUCUAAUAAAAGGGCUAACUCUCGUCCUAUAUCCGAUGAUGACUCAUACAUCAAACUCAAUACAUCAGCUCGUAUUGCCAAGUCUUGCACGUGUUCAGCGACCUCUCGAAUCUGGGCUACGGCUUCUCCAAUGACGUGAUCCCUUUCUCUGACCUGUCCUCUAGACCGAUGAAGCUCUCCCUUCAAAUGAUCUUCUCGUACCCCAAGUUGAUCGAUUAGGAGCUUACUAUCCUGCAAUGCUGAUCCCAACUCCUCAACUUUGCCUUUUAAUUUUUUUGCCUCAACUGUAGAAUCACGACUUCGAUGCAGAUGAAGGGAUCGCCCGAGCUCAGUUAUUUUAGUCUUUAAACCUUGAUUUUAUUUUUCUAAGGUCAAAUUCCGUGAUUGCAUCUCUUGAAACUUCUUCUCCCAAUAUUUGGCUUUAGCUUUUUCCUCUUGGACCUCUUUCUGCCCUUGAUCUGAAAACCUUCCUAGUCCUGCUCUCUUCAAAGUUAUUUGUGCCCUUUUAUAGUGCUCCUUUAAAUCAUCUCGGUCCUCCUCGAUCUUUCUUUUUUCUUUCUUCUCUUUCUAGACCUCUAUCUUUUGAACGUCGACAUCUAGGCUCAAAUACAUCUUUUUUUCUUCGAGCUUUGCUAUCCUCUUCUCGAACUCCAAGUUCUUUCUCUCGAACUCUUGUUUCAUAAUUUCUAACUCCGAGGGUGUCACUUGCAAAUAUUCCUUUAUCGGUCGAGCUCCUUCCACACUUGGCUUAGGGAUGUUAUCAUUAAUCCUUCUAUCUCUCCACUCGACGUACUCCGAAGUCAUAGCAGAGCUAAUAACUACUCCUUUUAAUCGACAAGUCUUGUUCCAAGCACUAGAGAUCUCACUGACCUUCCUCUUGUAGUCAGCUCCUCUAUACAUGAACUCACUCUGAACCAAACCGUAAGUUACCGGUAUGAACUGCCUCAAUCCAUGUUGCCUCAGCACAAGCAAGGGGGCAUAACCAAUGGCACCCCGAAUUCCCAACAGAGGGACCCAAUCAAAACUGCCGCAUCAGUAAAGAAUCUCACCAGGAAUCAUCCAUGGAGCCCUCCACUCUACGUCCAUUGACUGCAGAUUCUAAAGUAGUGCUAUCUAAUUUUUUUCAAGAACAUCAACUUUCCUAGUUGAAGCUGCUAUGUCCUUCAACGGGGGGUAAUCCUCGAAGAAGACCCUACAAACCACCCUAUCUAUCAAUCGGAAGUGACUGUAGAACCAAGCUAAAAGUAACUGAGCACAACCAACAAACCUGCCCGCACUGGCCUUCCUACAUGCAUUCAAGGACCUGAAUGUCUCCGCCAAAAUCACAAGAACAGGAGUGACCCAUUUGUUAAGUCGAUGGAAGAGAUCCGUGGUUGCCUCGUCCACAUAUCUCAAUGCCCUGGGGAAAACCAUCAAUCCGUAUAAGCUUAAGGCAAAGAUGUCUACCCUCUUCGCCUCGUCUGGAUGUGUCUGGAUCAGAUCUUUCAAAGCUCCCCAUGGAAUGCACUUACUCUCACCCUUUUCCUUAAUUCUAGCCAUAAUCCACUGCUCGCUCAUCCCCGUAAUGGUCAUCAGCUUCUUACCAAAGGUUGGGACAUAAACAGCUCGAGAAUAAAUCCUAUCACAUUGAAAUCUAAGAUACCGAAGUAAGGCUGUGUACUCCUCCACAGUAGGCACUAAAUCUACCUCCCCAAAGGUAAAACAACUGUAUGCUGGGUUCCAAAACUGGGCGAGAGCUCGAAACAAGUUCUCAUCAACCUGAAUAUCAAACAAAUAGGGCAAAUCUCCGUACUUACCGUAGAAUGAUUGCUUGGUCUCAUUGCCCCACUGAACCCAAAUCGCCUUAAACUCCUCCAAAUUAUUCUGUGUGACACUGAUGCGAGUGUAGUCUGACAGCUCCGACAUAUAUCCCACAGUUAUGCUAUCCCCUUUUCCUAGUUGAGUUUGCUCAAACCAUCUAUGGAUGUUAGCGUUGCCUUCCACUCUAUCAAGAAGUCCGUUUUCCAUAAUAAAAUUUCCUAACUUAGAAACCGACCGUGAAUCGAUACCUUUUAGAUGUAAUAUGACAUACAACAAAAUAAAGAAAAAUAAAUUGUCAGUAUCAUAUGAUAAAUAACUUAUCAGGGUAAUAAUCUAGAGUACCACUAUCCAAAUUGAGCUCCUACGGUUUUUCUAUAUGAGGUUUUAGUUCUAAAGUUUAAGGUACCCGAACCAGCAGAUUCCUCGAUCAUCACCCAUUAUAGGCUCAUUUGAAUCGAGUUCAGUUCAGGGGAAUACAUUUCCCUAUGGCUACACGGAGAUGAAAAUCUCACGAAACCACAGGUACGGAUGUAUCCUGAAAGUGAUCCACUAUCCUGCACGGAGGCGAAAACAUCACGAAGGCGUAGUUUCUCACUCCCACUUAAGGGUGUGACCACAACGGUCAUGCAAAUGCAAUGCGUAUCAGAAUAUAGCAACAUAUGUAAUAAUACAAACACAUGUAAUGCAAAGAGGAUUAAAUUUUAAAAUUUUUAAUUUCCAACAUUAAGACAAGAAAUAGUCAAUUACACGGCUUGACUCUCUUAUUAGUCCCCAGCGGAGUCGCCAAGCUGUCGAGACCAUUUUUAAAUCGAGUUUUGGAAAAUGGGAAUCGUCUUUAAGAGAAACGAAAACGGGAGUCGUCACUAAUCUUUUUAGGUGUGAUUGGAUUACCUCUAAAACAUUUUGCUUUAAAAUCAUUAGUUUUGGUCUACGAAAUCAAGAAAACGGGUUCGGGAGUCAGUUACGAACGAGGAAGGGUUGGCACCCUCGUAACGCCUAAAAAUUGGUACCUAAUUGACUAUCAAAUAUCUUUAAUGUCGGAAGUUUAAAAUUUUUAAGAUGCAAUCCUCUUUAGAAUAUUUUAAUUUUGAAAAUUAGGGUUCACUUGUAUCAAAUGAAUCAAAAUAUUACAUCCAAUAAGUUAGGAAGCAAUAUUUUUAAGACAUUCGAAGCUAAGCUAGCCCUUUUUGAAUAUCCUUAUCUCAAAACGACAAAACGCCAUAUCCAGUAAGUUAGAACACAACGCUUUGAAAUUCUAAGACAGUUGCUCGUAUUUUGAAAACCUUAAAAACUUAGAAGAGUGCUUGACUAUUCGAACUCAACGAGAAAAGUCGCAACCCAGUAAGUUAGGGCAUUACUUUUCUUGAAGUUUCCAAAUACCAAGCAUUGCCUUUUUAUUUUUGAAAACUUUUGAAUCUCGCUUUUAAUUAAUGCAUGAAGAACCAUAUAUAUACAUUAUAACAUGUAAGAUAGCAUAUUACAAUAAUAGGUAGCUAAAAAUGCAUUUAAAUAAUAUGAUAGCAAUAAUAUAAAGGUCCUAUACUAGAUACAUACAUAAAUAUAGCAAAUUUUAGUUACAUAACAACAUACAUAUUAAGAUAUACAUAGCAUAUAUUGAAGAUGAAUAAGCAAAAUAUACGAACAUACAAAGUAAUAAUUAAUUUAAAAAACGGUGCAUGAUGUACAAUUAAACAUAUAAAUACAUAUACAAAACAAAUGUGAUAAUAUAUAAAAAAAAAUAAUGUAGUAACAUAUAUAUAUCAAACAAACAACACUUAAUAAUAUUAUGAAACUAGCAUUUAAUAUAUAAAUGAUAUAAAAUAUAACAAUAUAUAAAAGAUUUAAUACAUAUUAAAAUACAAAAUAAGGUGAGUAAUUAUUUAAAAAAAUAUACAUAUAUAAUUAAAAUACAAUAUUUACUAAUGCAUGAUAAUAAUAUAGAUAAUAUAUAUGUAAUAAAAAACUUAAAUAAAUAUAAUGAAAUAUAAUAUGAAAUGUGUAUAAUAAUAAUGUAACAAAUAUUUUACAUAUAAAAAUAUAAUAAAAUAAAUAAUAUAAUAAAAAUAUAUAACAUAUAAUAAAAUUUAUAUAUAUAAUGUUACAAAUAAUAUAAAUAAAAUAAUAUAUUAUUAUAUACAUAACUAAUGUUUAUUAAAAAAAAAUAUAUAAAGUAUUUUAAAUAAAUUAAAUUAAAGGUAUAUAAGGAUUAAAAUUAAAUUUAAUUAAGGAAUUUAGGGUUAAUCACAAAUAAAUAAAGAAAAUUGGGCCAAAUUGGAACACAGACUAAAGCCGAGGGACUCACUGGGCAAUUUGCCCUAAUCCCAAAACGACACCGUUUCUCCAAAUACAAUUUUAAAGUUACUAUGAGGAUUAAAUUGAAACAAAAUUAGAACAUUAGAGCUAAAUUAAAAAAAUAUAUAAGAUGAAAUUUAAAAAAUUAAAAAGGCGAGAGGACCAAUUGGGCCAUUAACCCACUUUAAGAAAACACGCGGAUCCUUCCCGGGUAAUUGGGUCAACGCGCGGAUCCUGAGCCUUGAAACAACGCCGUUUUAUGCUUAUUGAGUUAAACUAAAAUGACGUCGUUUCAUUUGGGCUAUAUAAGCCAAAUUCUGAGCUUUAAAAUUAUUUUUGCACCCGGUUAGUAAAAAAAAAGAAGAGAAAUCCUCUAAAAGAAGACUUGGGGCCGGUCUUGGAGUACCGUCGUGCCUCCGUCCAGGGGUUUGCACGCGCUCACGCGCCCUUUUCUACUCUGCCACAUACGGUGGUCGGAAACCGAAAAUUUUCCUUUUUCCGACGCGAAUCAGAAUGGUACGUUUUCCUUUUCUUUUUUAUUGUUCGCAAUAUAUAUUUAAAAAAUAUUCACCUUUGUGUAUCUCGAUCGACUGUGGUACUUUUUCUGUAUAUAUAUGUAGAAAUAAACUUUUUAUUGAAUCUGUGUGUGUAUUCCCCCUAAAAAACCGUCCCUUACAUCCUUUCGAUUCGGGCUUUUUAUGGCCACUGAAAAGAAAAAGAAAAAUAUUUACAAUCUUUGAUUUAUUUCCUGCCAUAUUUGUUUCGUUUCUGUCGUUUUCUUUCCAUUUUUGCAGGUGUUCAAGGAGAGUAGACCACCGGCGUUGAUUUGCGCGUCGAUUACGGCAUAAGGUGGGGCCUAGAAUCACGGCAUUGAUGAAAGGUAGCUGAAACGACGGAAUUUGAAGAGGCACGACUCUUGGGGUGCUUGCGGCAAGAAGCUUCUGGAAACCCUAGGGUUUCCAGAUUCUGUUUAGGCGUUGGGCCUUGUUAAUUUUGGGCCGUUGAGUUGGGUCAAUGGUGUAAUGGGUAUAGGGUAGUGGUAGGCUUACGGGGUUGUUACCGGGCAUAAGGUUUUAGGCUAAUUGGGUCACAAGUGUAACGGGCUUUGGGCUUGGGUGUAACCGGGUUCUGGGUUAGCUGGGUAUUACCUUGUAAUUGGGCCUCAGGUAGACUUAAAUUUUUAGGCUCUAUAUAUGGACUAUUUAAAACAGUAAACAUUCAUUUAUUUUUUAUUUUUUGUUUAAAGCCCGGGCAAAUUUAGGUUAUUACAAGGCUAACAGAGUAGCACACGGACUGGCGAAGGAGGGCUGGAAAUUCGAUGACCCACAGUACUGGAUGGAAGAGGUUCCUAGCGAGAUGGAGGAUCUGGUUAAUAGGGACCGAAAUAGCAACAAUGGCAGAUGAGGCGUUCAUGACGAGUCCGGAUCGAGAAAUGAGAAUGUGAUUCGAUGAACCCGUGAAAUAACUAGAGGCUUGGGAUUGAAAAGUUAUUUGCUGAUGACGAUUCAGAAGAAGAGUCUUAGUAGCAACUGAUGCAACAAGAAGGGGGGCUCGGGGGAUUGGCUUUUCAUUUUCUUUUUUUUUUUUGCUUAAUUGGAUUCAUUUGUAUUGGCAAUUGUAAAGACUGAUUCAUUUAUUUCUUGUUUUCAUUUUCCCUAGACACCGAUUAGGCUGUCAAUUAGAAUACAACAGCUGUAGGAAGUAUUUAUUGUUUGUGUAAGGCAUUGGCUAAAAUCCCAUCAAUAAGAGCAUCAGUUGAAACGUUCAAAAAAAAAUAAUUAUAUUGUUAUAAAGA
Molecule: long non-coding RNA, 14675 nt
Filed under: Gossypium barbadense (sea-island cotton)
Lineage: Eukaryota; Viridiplantae; Streptophyta; Magnoliopsida; Malvales; Malvaceae
Description: long non-coding RNA (GBAR_LNC010855)
Source: RNAcentral